AGUGAACGCUGGCGGUAGGCCUAACACAUGCAAGUCGAACGGCAGCACAGUAAGAGCUUGCUCUUACGGGUGGCGAGUGGCGGACGGGUGAGGAAUACAUCGGAAUCUACUUUUUCGUGGGGGAUAACGUAGGGAAACUUACGCUAAUACCGCAUACGACCUACGGGUGAAAGCAGGGGAUCUUCGGACCUUGCGCGAUUGAAUGAGCCGAUGUCGGGUUAGCUAGUUGGCGGGGGAAAGGCCCACCAAGGCGACGAUCCGUAGCUGGUCUGAGAGGAUGAUCAGCCACACUGGAACUGAGACACGGUCCAGACUCCUACGGGAGGCAGCAGUGGGGAAUAUUGGACAAUGGGCGCAAGCCUGAUCCAGCCAUACCGCGUGGGUGAAGAAGGCCUUCGGGUUGUAAAGCCCUUUUGUUGGGAAAGAAAAGCAGCAGGUUAAUACCCCGCUGUUCUGACGGUACCCAAAGAAUAAGCACCGGCUAACUUCGUG
This 492-nucleotide ribosomal RNA is filed under the name uncultured bacterium. Its description in RNAcentral is "partial 16S ribosomal RNA". It matches the Rfam family "Bacterial small subunit ribosomal RNA", at positions 29 to 507 of the family's 1533-position model. The record is from RNAcentral.